This 484-nucleotide ribosomal RNA is filed under the name uncultured bacterium. RNAcentral describes it as "partial 16S ribosomal RNA". It matches the Rfam family "Bacterial small subunit ribosomal RNA", at positions 36 to 507 of the family's 1533-position model. The record is from RNAcentral.
CUUUCCCUCUUUCUUCCUGCCUAACACAUGCAAGUCGAGCGGAUGAAGGGAGCUUGCUCCUGGAUUCAGCGGCGGACGGGUGAGUAAUGCCUAGGAAUCUGCCUGGUAGUGGGGGAUAACGUCCGGAAACGGGCGCUAAUACCGCAUACGUCCUGAGGGAGAAAGUGGGGGAUCUUCGGACCUCACGCUAUCUGAUGAGCCUAGGUCGGAUUAGCUAGUUAGUGGGGUAAAGGCCUACCAAGGCGACGAUCCGUAACUGGUCUGAGAGGAUGAUCAGUCACACUGGAACUGAGACACGGUCCAGACUCCUACGGGAGGCAGCAGUGGGGAAUAUUGGACAAUGGGCGAAAGCCUGAUCCAGCCAUGCCGCGUGUGUGAAGAAGGUCUUCGGAUUGUAAAGCACUUUAAGUUGGGAGGAAGGGCAGUAAGUUAAUACCUUGCUGUUUUGACGUUACCAACAGAAUAAGCACCGGCUAACUUCGUG